Molecule: transfer RNA, 72 nt
Filed under: Ovis aries (sheep)
Lineage: Eukaryota; Metazoa; Chordata; Mammalia; Artiodactyla; Bovidae
Rfam family: tRNA
About the family: Transfer RNA (tRNA) molecules are approximately 80 nucleotides in length. Their secondary structure includes four short double-helical elements and three loops (D, anti-codon, and T loops).
Source: Rfam by way of RNAcentral
UCCCUUGUAGCUCAGUUGGUAAAGAAUCUGCCUGCAAUGCAGAAGACCCAGGUUCAAUCCCUGGGUUGGGAA